RNAcentral lists this transfer RNA (66 nucleotides) under Enithares tibialis. RNAcentral describes it as "tRNA-Trp". Lineage: Eukaryota; Metazoa; Arthropoda; Insecta; Hemiptera; Notonectidae. The record is from RNAcentral.
AAAGCUUUAAGUUAAAAAAACUAUUAACCUUCAAAGUUAAAUAUAUAAUAAUAUUUAUAAGCUUUA